GAUCCAUUGGAGGGCAAGUCUGGUGCCAGCAGCCGCGGUAACACCAGCUCCAAUAGCGUAUAUUAAAGUUGUUGCAGUUAAAAAGCUCGUAGUUGGAUAUCUGGUUCAGAUGGCUGGCCCGCCUCUUUCGGGAGCGUGUGUGCCGGUUCAACUGUACCAUCCUUCCGAGGAGCUUUUCUGCUCUUCACUGAGUGGAGAAGUAACUCGGAUCUUUUACUUUGAAAGAAUUAGAGUGUUCAAAGCAGGCGUUUGCUUGAAUACAUUAGCAUGGAAUAAUAAAAUAGGACUCCGGUUCUAUUUUGUUGGUUUCUAGAACCAGAGUAAUGAUUAAAAGGGACAGUUGGGGGUGCUUGUAUUGGGCGGCCAGAGGUGAAAUUCUUGGAUUCGCUCAAGACAAACUUAUGCGAAAGCAUUCACCAAGGAUGUCUUCUUUAAUCAAGAACGAAAGUUGGGGGAUCGAAGACGAUCAGAUACCGUCGUAGUCUCAACCAUAAACUAUGCCAACUAAGGAUCAGCGGACGUUGUUCUAGACUCCGUUGGCACUUUACGAGAAAUCAAAGUCUUUGGGUUCCGGGGGGAGUCUGGUCGCAAGGCUGAAACUUAAAGGAAUUGACGGAAGGGCACCACAACGGCGUGGAGCCUGCGGCUUAAUUUGACCCAACACGGGGAAAUUUACCAGGUCCGGACAUAGGAAGGAUUGACAGAUUGCAGAUCUUUCUUGAUUCUAUGGAUGGUGGUGCAUGGCCGUUCUUAGUUGGUGGAGUGAUUUGUCUGGUUAAUUCCGUUAACGAACGAGACCUCAGCCUGCUAAAUAGUCGAGCGAACAUUUCGGUGUUCGCGCUACGACUUCUUAGAGGGACUGUCGGUUUCUAGCCGACGGAAGUGUGAGGCAAUAACAGGUCUGUGAUGCCCUUAGAUGUCCUGGGCUGCACGCGCACUACACUGUUGCACACAGCGAGCAUUAACCCUUAACCGAUAGGUCUGGGUAAUCUUUGAAAGUGCAACGUGCUGGGGCUAGAUUAUUGCAAUUAUUAGUCUUCAACCAGGAAUGCCUAGUAAACGCGGGUCAUCAGCUCGCAUUGAUUACGUCCCUGCCCUUUGUACACACCGCCCGUCGCUCCUACCGAUUGAAUGAUCCGGUAAAGUCUUUGGACCGUGACUGCUUGGGGGCAACCUUAAGUAGAUGUGGGAAGUUGAUUAAACCUUAUCAUUUAGAGGAAGGAGAAGUCGUAACAAGGU
This 1239-nucleotide ribosomal RNA is filed under the name metagenome. RNAcentral describes it as "SSU rRNA". It matches the Rfam family "Eukaryotic small subunit ribosomal RNA", at positions 539 to 1800 of the family's 1831-position model. The record is from RNAcentral.